AAAUGAAUAGACGGGGACCCGCACAAGCAGCGGAGCAUGUGGUUUAAUUCGAAGCAACGCGAAGAACCUUACCAAGACUUGACAUUUCGUGAAUAGUAUAGAGAUAUAUGAAGUCCAGCAAUGGACACGAGGACAGGUGGUGCAUGGUUGUCGUCAGCUCGUGUCGUGAGAUGUUCGGUUAAGUCCGGCAACGAGCGCAACCCUUGUGAUAUGUUGGCAAUAUUAAGUUAGCAACUCAUAUCAGACUGCCGUGGAAAACACGGAGGAAGGCGGGGACGACGUCAAAUCAUCAUGCCCCUUACGUCUUGGGCUACACACGUGCUACAAUGGGCGCAACAAACAGUUACGAAGUGGAGACAUGGAGUUAAUCUGAAAAAAGCGUUCUCAGUUCGGAUUGUGGGCUGCAACUCGCCCACAUGAAGUCGGAGUUGCUAGUAAUCCCGGAUCAGCAUGCCGGGGUGAAUGCGUUCCCGGGUCUUGUACACACCGCCCGU
Molecule: ribosomal RNA, 494 nt
Filed under: uncultured bacterium
Lineage: Bacteria
Description: bacterial SSU rRNA
Rfam family: Bacterial small subunit ribosomal RNA
Source: RNAcentral